UGGCGGACGGGUGAGUAACGCGUGGAAAACCUGCCGUAUACUGGGGGAUAACACUUAGAAAUAGGUGCUAAUACCGCAUAAGCGCACAGCUUCGCGUGAAGCGGUGUGAAAAACUCUGGUGGUAUACGAUGGUUCCGCGUCUGAUUAGCUAGUUGGUGGGGUAAUGGCCUACCAAGGCAACGAUCAGUAGCCGGCCUGAGAGGGUGAACGGCCACAUUGGGACUGAGACACGGCCCAAACUCCUACGGGAGGCAGCAG
This 258-nucleotide ribosomal RNA is filed under the name uncultured bacterium. RNAcentral's name for it is "partial 16S ribosomal RNA". It matches the Rfam family "Bacterial small subunit ribosomal RNA", at positions 96 to 354 of the family's 1533-position model. The record is from RNAcentral.